GACGAACGCUGGCGGCGUGGAUUAGGCAUGCAAGUCGAACGGUAUCAUCCUUUCGGGGGUGAGAGAGUGGCGAACUGGUGAGUAACACGUAGGUUAUCUACCCUCAAGACGGGGACAACCCAGGGAAACUUGGGCUAAUACCGGAUGUGAGCAACUUUUAGUUGUUUGAAAGGUGGCGUAAGCUGUCGCUUGGGGAUGAGCCUGCGUCCUAUUAGUUAGUUGGUGAGGUAACGGCUCACCUAGGCAAUGAUAGGUAGGCGGCCUUAACGGGUGGUCGCCCACACUGGGAUUGAGAUACGGCCCAGACUCCUACGGGAGGCAGCAGUCGAGAAUAGUCUAACAAUGGUCGGAAGACUGAUAGUGCGACGCCGCGUGAACGAUGAAUCCCUUCGGGGUGUAAAGUUCUUUUAUAUGUGAGCAGUGCUUCUUAUAUUAACAGUAUGGGGAGAGAGAUAUUAGCAUAUGAAUAAGCAACGGCUAACUCCGUGCCAGCAGCCGACGGUAAUA
This 507-nucleotide ribosomal RNA is filed under the name uncultured bacterium. RNAcentral's name for it is "bacterial SSU rRNA". It matches the Rfam family "Bacterial small subunit ribosomal RNA", at positions 28 to 525 of the family's 1533-position model. The record is from RNAcentral.